This 253-nucleotide ribosomal RNA is filed under the name uncultured bacterium. Its description in RNAcentral is "partial 16S ribosomal RNA". It matches the Rfam family "Bacterial small subunit ribosomal RNA", at positions 524 to 776 of the family's 1533-position model. The record is from RNAcentral.
UACGUAGGGUGCGAGCGUUAAUCGGAAUUACUGGGCGUAAAGCGUGCGCAGGCGGUUCGUUAUGUCCGAUGUGAAAGCCCCGAGCUUAACUUGGGAAUGGCAUUGGAAACUGGCGGGCUGGAGUGCGGCAGAGGGGGGUGGAAUUCCACGUGUAGCAGUGAAAUGCGUAGAUAUGCGGAGGAACACCGAUGGCGAAGGCAAUCCCCUGGGCCUGCACUGACGCUCAUGCACGAAAGCGUGGGGAGCAAACAGG